RNAcentral lists this ribosomal RNA (468 nucleotides) under uncultured bacterium. RNAcentral's name for it is "partial 16S ribosomal RNA". It matches the Rfam family "Bacterial small subunit ribosomal RNA", at positions 28 to 507 of the family's 1533-position model. The record is from RNAcentral.
GACGAACGCUGGCGGCGUGCUUAACACAUGCAAGUCGAACGGAAAGGCCCUGCUUUUGUGGGGUGCUCGUGUGGCGAACGGGUGAGUAACACGUGAGUAACCCGCCCUUUACUGUGGGAUAACUUUAGGAAACUGGGGCUAAAACCGGAGAGGAGCUUUUGAUCCAUGGUGGGGGUUGGAAAGUUUCGGCGGUUGGGGAUGGACUCGCGGGUUAUCAGCUUGUUGGUGAGGUAGUGGAUUACCAAGGUUUUGACGGGUAGCCCACAUGAGAGCGUGACCGGGCACAUGAGGCCUGAGAGACGGCGCAGACUCGUACGGGAGGCAGAAGUGGAGAGUAUUGCGCAAUGGGCGGAAGCCUGUUGCGACAACGCCGCGUGCGGAAUGACGGGCUUCGAGUUGUGAACCGAUUUCGACGGUGACGAGGCGUGAGUGACGGUAAUGAGUAAGAAAGCACCGGCUAACUACGUG